This 253-nucleotide ribosomal RNA is filed under the name uncultured bacterium. RNAcentral describes it as "partial 16S ribosomal RNA". It matches the Rfam family "Bacterial small subunit ribosomal RNA", at positions 524 to 776 of the family's 1533-position model. The record is from RNAcentral.
UACGGAGGGGGCUAGCGUUGUUCGGAAUUACUGGGCGUAAAGAGUGCGUAGGCGGUUCUUUGUGUCCGCUGUGAAAGCCCCGGGCUUAACCUGGGAAUGGCAGUGGAAACUAGAGAACUUGAAUCUGGCAGAGGGGGGUGGAAUGCCACGUGUAGCAGUGAAAUGCGUAGAUAUCUGGAGGAACACCGGUGGCGAAGGCGGCAUCCUGGACCGAGAUUGACGCUGAGGCGCGAAAGCCAGGGGAGCAAACGGG